UGGACCCGGUGAAUCAUCCACGUUCUCGCUGGUGCACUUUGCCGGGCUCAGGCCAGCAUCAGUUUGCCUUGGGGGAUAAAGGCUUUGGGAACGUGGCUCCCUCGGGAGUGUUAUAGCCCAUUGCACAAUCCCUGGGGCGGACUGAGGUUCGCGCAUCUGCAAGGAUGCUGGCGUAAUGGUCAUCAGCG
RNAcentral lists this ribosomal RNA (188 nucleotides) under Metarhizium cylindrosporum. RNAcentral describes it as "partial 28S ribosomal RNA D2 region". The record is from RNAcentral. Lineage: Eukaryota; Fungi; Ascomycota; Sordariomycetes; Hypocreales; Clavicipitaceae.